Long non-coding RNA from Cyprinus carpio (common carp), 1269 nucleotides. Lineage: Eukaryota; Metazoa; Chordata; Actinopteri; Cypriniformes; Cyprinidae. The record is from Ensembl.
AAAAAUAAAAUAAAAAUUGCAAUUAACUAUUUGCACUCCAAACCAGAGUUCUUGUAAUUAUCACAAUAGCAAAUUAAACGGCACUCCAAGCCAACUUAUAUAGAGGUCGGCUCUGCCCAUUCUUGUGGGCUAGAGCGCCAUUGGUUUGUGCAGCUACACAAACGUGAACAAAUCAGGCUUCGGUAUAAACAGUUUCCCAUACACAACGUGAGAGAACAUUCAAAAGGGUACCAGAGGUUUUAAGUCUUAAAUGGUUUGAUUCUAAAUGCUGCAAAACAAAAUGGUUUUGUGCUUUAAUUUAUACUUUGACUGUAGAAUCUAUUUGCAUUAGCAACAAUUUCGAUGUAAUUCUGGGGAACCGCUUCAGGAAGACAUUGACAAGUUAGUGCUGUAUUACAUUGUGUGCUAUUUUUACAUUUGUUACCAAAAAGUUGUCUGCACUGUACUGUGAACCCAAGAGUUGGUGGAUUUACAAGGUGGCUUUGAGAUCAUUUCCACACUUUCCACACUCUUAUAAAUCACUGUGUAACGCGUGUCGCGGCGCAAGUGCGACCCUCCCUCUCAAACAGUAAAUAACGGAAAUGAGCGGAAAAGGAAUACACUGUUUCUAAUUUUGGACCAGCGACCAGAAGAUCAGAUUCGCUCAAGAGACUGUGUCAGCAACAAGGGUAGAAGGAAAUGACAACAACACUGGCUGCAUUAGAAACAGGACCGUGUCGCAGCUGUUGUUUCUCUCUCUCGCAUCGCGCGUUCUCGCUCGUACUCCCUCGCACAGCUCCGAUCAUAGGGCGGGGCUAACUCUUCGCUCUCCUCAUUGGACCAAUUUUCACUUAUUUGAAAAAAAAGAAGUUUCUAAAAUAGUUUUAUUUUUAUUAUUUACUUUUUUUCAUUUAUACAUUUUCUACUUCACAAUGUUAUUAAAGUAAAGUGCUGAUUUACAUAUUCACAAGUCUUAUGGUGUUUUAUUCCCUUUUCUAUUUUACAUUAACAGGGCUCUUAGUAACCUGGGUUACAUCUGGCUCUCUCCUAAUACACGGUUCCAAAUGACUUUACCUAGACAAUACACCCACUCCAGAGCUUUAUGCAGAAAUGAAAGUCACUGUCUUCUUGAACUCUACAGCUCAGUGACAAUAGCAGCGGCUCUGGAAGUGUUAUAAAACUGAAAGAAGAGCUCAGUUAGGGCUUAUAUUAAUUCUUAAAGUAUUUUCAAAUUUCCGCACAUGUGGUUUCAAUUGCAUGAUCAAUGACUGGGGUAUGUCAGAUACCAAC